RNAcentral lists this ribosomal RNA (253 nucleotides) under uncultured bacterium. RNAcentral's name for it is "partial 16S ribosomal RNA". It matches the Rfam family "Bacterial small subunit ribosomal RNA", at positions 524 to 776 of the family's 1533-position model. The record is from RNAcentral.
UACAGAGGUCCCAAGCGUUGUUCGGAUUCACUGGGCGUAAAGGGUGCGUAGGUGGCGCUGUAAGUCAGGUGUGAAAUUUCGGAGCUUAACUCCGAAACUGCAUUUGAUACUGCGGUGCUUGAGGACUGGAGAGGAGACUGGAAUUUACGGUGUAGCAGUGAAAUGCGUAGAGAUCGUAAGGAAGACCAGUGGCGAAGGCGGGUCUCUGGACAGUUCCUGACACUGAGGCACGAAGGCCAGGGGAGCAAACGGG